AUGAGAUAUCUUCUCUUAACCCUCUAGCCGCGACUGAUCUUCAUAUUAGAAAAUCAUAAUCGUUGUAACCGUAGUGUUAAAUUACCCCGGUGGUGAGUAUGAGUUCGAGACACCGAGUAGAGGUGAUUACAUUUACAACUGUAACAAUUUUAUUGGAAUUUAAACGUGCGUGUAUCAUAACGCCUUGUAGGAAUUUUCUAUACAAAAAUCGUUUAAAGUUCUAUAGGUUUAUCAUAAGGAUAAUAACGUGACCUGACGAAAUUUGCAGAAUAAAUAGAUAUAUUUAUUAAUGGGACAUGUAGAUGCGAUUUGAGCAUCGCCCACGACUGGAAGAUUAAUCUUUCCGCUCUGGAGUGCAUACGUCAUAGAGGAACAUUCAAAAGUACAAAAUAUAAAGCUAGAAAUUGUUAAGCUUUAUAAUUAUCAGAACGACAUAUGAAUCGUUAUGUAUCUUCCGCUUGUCAAAUUUAUUAUACGAGCAGCACUAUACUAACUAUGUUAACCAAUAGGUGAAUCCAAAAUCCAUACGAAACGACUUGUUUUAAAAUUUGGAAAACGACAUAGUUGUUGAAGCUAAUCGAGUAAAAAUGUUGCCGUGCAAGGUAACAUGAAAGACAACGUGCACACGAGCAUUGUUCAUAAUCUUGGAUUACAUGAAAAUAUAGUAUUGUAGCGCUGGAUGAUUACGUUACGGAUAAUUUUCAUGAAAUUAUGAAUUUGCAUGGAGAUCAACAGACUGUUCAUUAGUGCAAUUAACAGGAGAUAAUUAAUGAGGAACACGGAAUAUUUCUAGUAUUUUAGUUUCGUGUUUGUUGAGUGUUUUUGGAUACAAGACUUGACGAAUUAAAAGUGUUUCUUUUAUUUUACUCUUUUAUGUGAUUUUUGACUCUGAGAAUGGAACACUUGUAGUACACUGUGCAGUGAAAUGGUAAUAAUUAAUGAACAGUGUUUACUAAUAAAGUUAGAAUAUGGCAAAAAACUAUGACAAAUGAAAAUGCUAUGACAAUCGCGGUUUACCUUUUUUGUGUGAGUGUUAGUUUGUUUAUUCUCUUUAUUAGGAAAAGUCCAGUCAUAAUUUAACAUAUAUAAAAAGUAAAACAAAUUAAUUCUGUAUCACGAAUGUAAAUUAAAUUUUGCUCUAGACUCUGAGAAAUGGGUUUCCUCUAAAUAUAUAUUUUAAUUUCAAACUAUAAUAGAACGAAGUGUUAUUAUAAAAACGAGAUUUCAGAAUGAAUCGCAUCUGUAUUAACGUGGCCUAUUGUAUUUAUUUUUGGUGUGUUCUUUGAAUUUUUCCAUCGAUAACAAAUUGUUUAACUUUGAGAAACACACGAAAUAAUCGUUAUUUGUAUGCCUCCUCUUUUGUUUCAAUUUCUUGCGAGUGAUUUCGUUAAAACGAGAAUAAAAUUCGGAACAAAUUCAAGUCAAAAUUAUUCGAAGACUGCAGCAGGAUUAAAGGAAAGAAAAGAAAUAAUCGUAAAGAAGUUUUAUCGCCAAUUUAUGUUAAUAAUUUUCAAUUAGAUUUACAUGUAUAUUUGUUAUCAGCAAUUCUAAUCAUUUUAUUAAUGUUAUAUAACGAAUAAAUGUGUGACUACCGAACAGAUUUUCAAAUAAAUAUUACACUGUCAGGGAGAGCAUAUUCGUCGAGAGUAUAUUGAUAAGGCUUAACACAUUGUGAAUUGUUUAGAAAAAUGAUGUUUUUAGGAACAAAUUUGCACGCACAUACGUGCGUCAAUAGCAUUUACGUGAACUCAAUCUGUCGGAUGUAUCUAUACGCCCACAGUAACAAAACAGUUGACCAUUAUAUUUUACUCCUACGUAAAGAUCAAACUGACAACUGCAAACAGAAUAGUUUUGUAUCAAUGGAAUUGUUCUUCUGUCAUACAUUUCAUGCUAAAUGUUUGUCUCUUCCUCUAUCUGCAAACUCAAUUAGAGAUGGAAUCCCGUUAAUUCUAAACUGCGAAUAAAUGAAAAAAAAUAUAAUAUUUCUAUAUUCGAUCAUGCUAUUGUCCCGAGUGAACAAUUAAAGAUAUUGUUUAGAUUUCAAUUUCAUACCACUUGAUUUCGGAAUGUUA
This is a long non-coding RNA of Bombus terrestris (buff-tailed bumblebee), 2072 nucleotides long. RefSeq lists it as uncharacterized. The transcript has 2 exons. Lineage: Eukaryota; Metazoa; Arthropoda; Insecta; Hymenoptera; Apidae. The record is from RefSeq and is a predicted model, not a curated record.